AUGGCUAGGGUGGAUGAACCUGGUAGAGGGAAAAGAGCGAACCCUCAUCGUUCUAAGCAUUCUGAGACUGAGCAGCGAAGAAGAAGCAAAAUUAACGAAAGAUUUCAGGUUAUUGAAUAUAUUCAGUUCCUACAGGAAAAGUUACAGAUUUAUGAACAGUCUUAUGAAGGGUGGAAUCAGGAGCCAAGUAAAUUAGUUCCAUGGAGAAAUCAUCACGGACCUGCCGAAAAUACUAUAGAUCCUUCUCGAGCAAUUCCAAAUGGGUCUGAUCAUGAAACACGAACAAG
Molecule: non-coding RNA, 287 nt
Organism: Vicia faba (fava bean)
Lineage: Eukaryota; Viridiplantae; Streptophyta; Magnoliopsida; Fabales; Fabaceae
Source: the annotation of a GenBank genome assembly